This 267-nucleotide long non-coding RNA is filed under the name Monodelphis domestica (gray short-tailed opossum). Its description in RNAcentral is "lncRNA (ENSMODG00000035867.2)". Lineage: Eukaryota; Metazoa; Chordata; Mammalia; Didelphimorphia; Didelphidae. The record is from RNAcentral.
AAGAAUUGCAAUUACUCAUGCUUUGGUCAAAAACCCCAAGAUUCUGAUCUUGAAUGAUGCUACAUCUGCACUGGACUCAGAAAGCAAGUCAGCUGUGCAGAUGGCACUGGAAAUGGAUCAGAGCUAAAAGAAGGCAACAGCUCAGACUUGGACAGUAUUUUCUGAAAUACUCCAAAGCUUCCAAAGCAUCCCCAAAUAGCCCAGCUAAAGGCAAAGAAGACAAACAAAAAUGGCUGUUAAUUAAAGGUGUAAUGUUUAUUAUAGCUG